Molecule: non-coding RNA, 1778 nt
Organism: Penaeus vannamei (Pacific white shrimp)
Lineage: Eukaryota; Metazoa; Arthropoda; Malacostraca; Decapoda; Penaeidae
Source: RefSeq, a predicted model, not a curated record
ACAUUUUUCAUUUCAUCCGUGCCUUGCACUCUACUUUUUAUUUAUCUAUUUAUUUACAGGAAUUUCCCGAGAAGUCAACAUUCCGUCUGCAUAAUUUGGAAAAGAAGUACGACACAAUGUCUUUAGCCGAGUUGAUGGCUUUGGAAGGAUUCAGCGAGAAUAUCGACUGGCACAAACUCGUAUCCGAUCUGCUGGGAAUCAGCGCCGACCCCAAGACCAUUAAGUUGCAGGUCUACUUCAAAGACAGGCUGCAGAGAAUCAUCGAGCACGUUAACGAAAAUAUUUACGACGCAUCCAACAUUCAUGCCAUGUUCAUGAUGCUGUGGAGUGAACAGCUGUACAACGACUUCGUCGACCCCCUCGGGGUUGCCAUGGGCUCUCCCGACUACUGCCUCCGCAUCGUCAAGAAUCUCAUGCACGACUUCUCGUCUUACCUCUACCUGGAGGCCUUGGGACCCAGCCUCGACGAGUAUCAGCAACAGAUCAACACGAUGGUCCGACUGACGAAGAAGACGGCCGAAGAGCAACUCCUUCGAGCGCAUCCUUCCUCGGCCAGCAACUUGCUCGUCGAGAAGCUGCGCAAAAUGACCGGCGAGACGAUGGACCUCCAGACCUCAAAAAACAUCCUGGCACAGAGCAUGAUGGGGGUGAAUAGUACUGGGAACUUCAUUGAAGACUGCCGGACACUCCUGCUGCGGUACAGAUCUUACUUAUACAGUAUGUAUACAAGAGGUCCCUCCAAUCCGGAAGUUAUGUGGAAUCAGUUCCUUCUACCUUACAAAAGUUACGGUACCUACGUCUACGCCAUGAACAAAUUCUUGAUCCCGUACGGUGCCAUGACGCCGCCGCUCUUCUAUGGCGACGACGUCCCCAAUUACAUCAACUUCGCUGGCAUUGGGCACAUGAUCGCUCACGAGCUCAUGCACAGCUUUGACGGCACAGGUAUCUACUACGACGGUGAAAAAAGGAACCAGGAUAAGAUCCCUGAGAGUCACCUUUAUGUACCUCAUACUGAGUGUCUGUCAGAAAAACUCAUUUAUCCCCAAGUUGUUAAUACAACAGCAGACCUUGACACAAACUUCACGCUGCCGCACCGCCUGGCCCUCAACGAACUUCUUUCGGACUCGGCGGCCACCAGACUGGCUUGGGAAACCUACAUCUCCUUACUCACAGACGCUGCCGCUCCAACAUCGUCGCCAAGCACACCUCUCACAGGUGGCCGGGGUGGAGGCAGCCAGACCAGCCGCCGGCGACGGUCCCUGGACUGGUAUCCCCGGGGGCUCGGGCCAAACGCCAGGCCUUGAUGCCGCCUCCGGCACCUCCUAAGCCCUUGCCUUCGACCAACACUUCGGAGCCAAAGCUGCCUUUCCUGGACCUGACACCCAUUCAACUCUACUUCCUCCGCACAGCACAGACACAGUGCAGCGCCACCAGUGACAUCAUGUUUAACGUCAAAGAGGAUGAGCACCUGCCGUCUCGCCUCAGAGUGAACAUGGUGCUGAUGAACGACCCGCUGUUCGCCGAGGCCUUCCAGUGCCAGGGGGUCGCCCAUGGUGGCCGAGGAGCAGUGCGACUUCUCCUUGGGGUAGAGCAGGGCGUCUCCAUCAGAGCUCUGUCUCUUUCCUCUCUCACUCUUUCUAUGCGCACGCAAUCUUAUACACUCAUACGCGCGGCACACACACACACACACACACACGCACACACACACACACACACACACACACACACACACACACACACACACACACACACACACACACACACACACACAACACACA